RNAcentral lists this ribosomal RNA (1331 nucleotides) under Tricholomataceae sp. 8PBL11. RNAcentral describes it as "eukaryotic LSU rRNA". Lineage: Eukaryota; Fungi; Basidiomycota; Agaricomycetes; Agaricales; Tricholomataceae. The record is from RNAcentral.
GACCUGCGGAAGGAUCAUUAUUGAAAAUCUAACUGGYGCAGUUCAGUGCUGACUUCUUAACUGGAGUAUGUGCACGUUCUGUGUCGGUUGUUAUUCAUCCACCUGUGCACUUUUUGUAGAAGCUUUUGUUAGGUUGGCUUGAAUGGGUUCUUAGUUGAACUUGUUUAGUUGACUUGRUAAGACUUCUAUGUCUUUACAAACCAUUGAAGUAUGUUCAGAAUGUCUUUUAUUGGGACUUAACUGGCCCUUUAAACUUUAUACAACUUUCAGCAACGGAUCUCUUGGCUCUCCCAUCGAUGAAGAACGCAGCGAAAUGCGAUAAGUAAUGUGAAUUGCAGAAUUCAGUGAAUCAUCGAAUCUUUGAACGCACCUUGCACCCUCUGGUAUUCCGGAGGGUAUGCCUGUUUGAGUGUCAUUAAAUUCUCAACUUCAAAAGUUUUUAUUAACUUAUUGAAGCUUGGAUGUGGGGGUUGCUGGCAUCUUAGAUGUUCGGCUCCUCUUAAAUGCAUUAGUGGAACCCGUUUUGUUGGGCCACCUUGGUGUGAUAAUUAUCUACGCUUUGGUUGGUUUGACUUUCAGGUAAAGCUCUUAACUGAGGUUUAUUCUGGUUGGGAUACUGCAACUAGCUUGCUGUAUCUGAAGGGAUUUUCUGCUYUCUAACCGUCUUUCGGACAAUUUAUUUGACUAUUUGACCUCAAAUCAGGUAGGACUACCCGCUGAACUUAAGCAUAUCAAUAAGCGGAGGAAAAGAAACUAACAAGGAUUCCCCUAGUAACUGCGAGUGAAGAGGGAAAAGCUCAAAUUUAAAAUCUGGCAGUCUUUGAUUGUCCGAGUUGUAAUUUAGAGAAGUGUUACCCGUGUUGGCCCGUGUACAAGUCUCCUGGAAUGGAGCGUCAUAGAGGGUGAGAAUCCCGUCUUUGACACGGACUACCAAUGCUUUGUGGUGCGCUCUCGAAGAGUCGAGUUGUUUGGGAAUGCAGCUCUAAAUGGGUGGUAAAUUCCAUCUAAAGCUAAAUAUUGGGGAGAGACCGAUAGCGAACAAGUACCGUGAGGGAAAGAUGAAAAGAACUUUGGAAAGAGAGUUAAACAGUACGUGAAAUUGCUGAAAGGGAAACGCUUGAAGUCAGUCGCGUUAGUCGGGGAUCAGCCUUCCUUCUGGUUGGUGUACUUCCUGAUUGACGGGUCAGCAUCAGUUUUGACCGGUGGAUAAGAGCUUGAGGAAUGUGGCAUCUUCGGGUGUGUUAUAGCCUCUUGUUGUAUACAUCGGUUGGGACUGAGGAACUCAGUACGCCGCAAGGCCGGGUUUUUAACCACGUUCGUACUUAGGAUGC